Molecule: long non-coding RNA, 298 nt
Filed under: Elaeis guineensis (African oil palm)
Lineage: Eukaryota; Viridiplantae; Streptophyta; Magnoliopsida; Arecales; Arecaceae
Description: long non-coding RNA (EGUI_LNC053935)
Source: RNAcentral
CACAUUGUAUUUCAACCUUUCAAAUCUAUCUCAUAGAUUACCCUAGCCAAGACUUUACUAAAUUAAAAUAUAGUGAUGCAUCAACUCCUAUAAUCCAGAAGGAUCAAUCCCAUCUUGAUCUACAUACAGACUUUGCAAAUACUUGACUGUAUCCAGUAGCCUUUCGUCAUUGUAUUAGAAGUCUAGAUAGUCUGGUACCAAAGCACAGUGAACUUCAAAUCACUAUGGUGAUCUCAGGUCUGAGGGAUACUUACGUCCAUAUGCUUCACGAGCAGCUCUUGACAGUAGAAUGCCCAGC